Molecule: ribosomal RNA, 500 nt
Filed under: uncultured bacterium
Lineage: Bacteria
Description: bacterial SSU rRNA
Rfam family: Bacterial small subunit ribosomal RNA
Source: RNAcentral
AUUGAACGCUGGCGGCAUGCCUAACACAUGCAAGUCGAACGGAGGUAGGGGCAACUCUACUUCAGUGGCGGACGGGUGAGGAAUGCGUCGGAAUCUACCCUAUGGUGGGGGAUAACACAGGGAAACUUGUGCUAAUACCGCAUGAUGUCGAGAGACCAAAGCAGGGGACCGCAAGGCCUUGCGCGAUAGGAUGAGCCGACGCCCGAUUAGCUAGUUGGUAGGGUAAAGGCCUACCAAGGCGACGAUCGGUAGCUGGUCUGAGAGGAUGAUCAGCCACACUGGGACUGAGACACGGCCCAGACUCCUACGGGAGGCAGCAGUGGGGAAUAUUGGACAAUGGGCGCAAGCCUGAUCCAGCAAUGCCGCGUGUGUGAAGAAGGCCUGCGGGUUGUAAAGCACUUUUGUUCGGGAAGAAAACGGAUCGGUUAAUACCCGGUUCGGAUGACGGUACCGAAAGAAUAAGCACCGGCUAACUUCGUGCCAGCAGCCGCGGUAAAGUA